UCCCGCGUUGUCUAGCGGUUAGAAUUCCUGGCUUUUGCCCAGGCGGCCAGGGUUUGACUCCCGGCGCUGGAG
Schistosoma curassoni is the source of this 72-nucleotide non-coding RNA. The record is from Rfam. NCBI's taxonomy places the organism in Eukaryota, Metazoa, Platyhelminthes, Trematoda, Strigeidida, Schistosomatidae.